GUACACUGCUAACUUUUACAACAAGAUGUGUACAAUGCGUAAAAAAUGAGUUCUUACGCGCCAUUUUGACUUUAUGUGUCAAAUGGCAUGUCAAAUGUACGAU
Molecule: long non-coding RNA, 103 nt
Organism: Maniola jurtina (meadow brown)
Lineage: Eukaryota; Metazoa; Arthropoda; Insecta; Lepidoptera; Nymphalidae
Exons: 3
Source: RefSeq, a predicted model, not a curated record